GCCAAGCCUCAGCGCUGCGCAAAGUAGUAGUGUAAGCCGUUCGUGGACGGACUAACGCCGAUGGAAGAGUGGCGGCGUCCACUGGCGGUGUGUGCGUCAAGAGGCUCUCUCUCUCUCUCUUUCUCUCCUUCUGAUCCUUCUGUCCCUCUCCUCCCCCCUACCGUUUCAGCUAGCCGGCCGCCUCUCUUACUACUUGCCUGCCUUCUCUUCUACAUACACAUGCACUUGGUGCAAUUGCAGAAAUUUUCAAACCGCGGAACGUACGGUGAUGCAGGCUUGAUGUCACUUCGAUUUCAACGUUCUCAAUCGUCAUCGCGAACUGUGAUCAACAUCGAAAAAACCACGCACUCACGUCAUAAGUGUAGACAAAAAAAAAAAGAUUGAUUGCUUUUCACACGAUCUAAUCGAUUCCAGAAUCUC
This is a long non-coding RNA of Neodiprion virginianus, 420 nucleotides long. RefSeq lists it as uncharacterized. Lineage: Eukaryota; Metazoa; Arthropoda; Insecta; Hymenoptera; Diprionidae. The record is from RefSeq and is a predicted model, not a curated record. The transcript is spliced from 2 exons.